UUAAAAUCCUAUUCCUUCUCUCUACUUUCUCUCUCUAUUCCCCAAGACUCUAUUGAAGAUCAAUUAAAUGUCAAAACGGCUCCAAGAUUAAAAUUUAUCACCAUCAAUCUUCAUUAAUAGCUAUGCCAUGGAGUUCCUAGGAGGCCGAUUGAAGAAGACUUGGACUAUUUUCUCCAUGUAUUGGACAUACUACAAGAGGUGUAGCCUCAAGGAGAGUGGAAGAAGAUUUGGCUAAUGCGGUGGUAGUUCGUCCUCAACGAGACAAAGACCCUCCAUAAGGAAACCAACUUCCUCCUCAAGAACAAGCUCCAGUCAGUCUUCCAUCUAUGAUAUGUGGAGAUAUAAGGUCUACAUUUUUGAAUUUUCAUCAUGUUAUUAUCACCCAAUGACAAAAGGUAGCCACUCAAGCUCAAGUCAUGGUGUCUCAAGCAAAUAGAGAGGUCUGACAUCGUUUUCAACAAAAUGCUAGUACGACGACUUCCUAUUUGAGAGACUUCACUUUGAUGAACCUUCCUAUGUCGUUUGCGUCUAAUGUGAAUGAAACUCCUAAAGAUUUCAUUGAUGAGGUCUGCAAGGUUUCCAAUGCUAUGGGCUUAACUUUGAAUUAGAAGGCCGAUCUAUCUUCCCAUCAACUCAAGGAUGUAGCAUAAACAUGGUACACCAAUUUUAGAGACUAAAGGUCCUUGAGAACGAGUCAUAUUAGUUGGGAGGUUAUUAGCUGCUUUUUUUAUUGUUUAUUUUAUAGGUAAAAAAGGGAGGCCAAAGAGUUGGAAUUCAUCAACAUUCGCCAAUGAGGUAUGAGUGUGCAACAGUACUCCUCAAAAUUCACCAAAAUGUCCAUGUUUGAUCCUUCCUUGGUGUCUAAACCAAGAAAUAUGAUUAUUCACUUUGUUAUGGGAGUUUUUUAGGAUUUUUUUUAAGAGUCUCAUACGGAGAUGCUGAAUUAAAAGAUGGAUAUUUCUAGGUUAAUGGUUCAUGCUCAACAAGUUAAGGGGACUCGACUCAAGAGGAAAAAUAGGGAGUUUAAGAGGGCCGAAGGAUUAUGAAGGGGGUACUUUCAAGGGUAAGCUUUUGAUUCAAGACAAGCCUAGGAUCAUAAAAUGUUUUGCAACCAAGUUCCUUAAAACAUUCCAAAGAUGAUUAAGGAUAUGGUGUCUAGCCCUAAUUCCCAAAGUUUAGAAGUGGAAAUUCAACAAAUGAUAAACUACCUUGUUCCAAGUGUGGUAAGAAGCAUUGGGGUGAGUGCCUAGUUGGGAAACGAAAUAGCUUUUGUUGUGGAAAAGAGGUUUAUAAUUGUAAGGAUUGCCCUAAUGUGAGGAUUCAAUAGUAGAGGAGUGGUCAAUCUCAUCCUAGUUCUGAAGCUCCAAAGAGAAACUACUUUUAUGCUCUCCUCUCUAGGGUUGAACAAGAAGAAUCCCCCAUGUGGUCACCGAUAUGUUACAAAUCAUCUCUAUAAAUGUUUGUGAUUUACUUAAUCCCGGUGCUACAUUUUCAUGUGUAACUUCCCUAGUAGAUAUAAGUUUUUAUGUUCUACCAGAUAUUUUAUUUGAACCAUAUUUUGUUACAACCCUAGUCGGUAUCUCCAUUUUGUCUAAACAAGUAUUUAUGAAUUAUCCCAUAUAUAUUCCCAAUAUAGUAACAUGUGUGGAUUUUAUAGAA
Long non-coding RNA from Solanum lycopersicum (tomato), 1659 nucleotides. RefSeq lists it as uncharacterized. The record is from RefSeq and is a predicted model, not a curated record. NCBI's taxonomy places the organism in Eukaryota, Viridiplantae, Streptophyta, Magnoliopsida, Solanales, Solanaceae.